Molecule: ribosomal RNA, 451 nt
Filed under: uncultured bacterium
Lineage: Bacteria
Description: partial 16S ribosomal RNA
Rfam family: Bacterial small subunit ribosomal RNA
Source: RNAcentral
AUUGAACGCUGGCGGCAGGCUUAACACAUGCAAGUCGAACGCCCACCUUCGGGUGGGAGUGGCAGACGGGUGAGUAACACGUGGGAACGUACCCUUUGGUUCGGGACAACUCUGGGAAACUGGAGCUAAUACCGGAUACGCCCUUUUGGGGAAAGGUUUACUGCCGAAGGAUCGGCCCGCGUCUGAUUAGCUAGUUGGUGGGGUAACGGCCUACCAAGGCGACGAUCAGUAGCUGGUCUGAGAGGAUGAUCAGCCACACUGGGACUGAGACACGGCCCAGACUCCUACGGGAGGCAGCAGUGGGGAAUAUUGGACAAUGGGCGCAAGCCUGAUCCAGCCAUGCCGCGUGAGUGAUGAAGGCCUUAGGGUUGUAAAGCUCUUUUAUCCGGGACGAUAAUGACGGUACCGGAGGAAUAAGCCCCGGCUAACUUCGUGCCAGCCGCCGCGGUAA